AGAAGUAUCUUGGAUUUGCAAUUUUAGAAGAAUGGUUAGGAAAAGCGUCACUGAAAAGAUGGCAUUUGAGUUAAGAUGAGAUAAAUGUGAGGAAACAACCUAUAAAGAUAGCUGGAAAAUGUGCAUUCCAGCCUAGGAAGUGACAAUUUCAAGGAACCAAGAGGGAAUAAUGAGUUUGAAGAAGAGUGGGCAGAGAGGGGUGUAUCAAGAGGUGAGCUCAUAAAGGAUGGAAGUGACAAAGGGUAGGGUCUUGUGCUUCAUUGAAAAGGACUUAGCACUUUUAUUCUGAGUGAAAAAUAUGACCAUUGGAUAGUUUCGAGUAGAGGACAGAAACAAUCCAACUUAUGAUUUUGGUAAACUCACUUUUACGAGGCAACAUGUGUAAGUGAAAGACAAAGAAAACUGAGAAAGGCUACUUGGGAGGAUAUUGAGAUAAUACCUAUAAAAAAGGUGAUGAGUUUGUGUAAGAGUGCUUAUAGUGAAGACAGUGAAAGCCGGUGAUAGUCUGGAUAAUUUUUGAAGGUAGAGAUGACUGGAUUUAUUUUGCACAGAGUAGAAAGUCACUUUUGCUCAACUACUUUAACUGUUGGGAAUACAAUGGGCAAGGUAAUUAGGAAAAAUGAGAAAUUUUGUAACAGUGAGUUAUAUGGCAGAUAGUGGCUCAAAUUGUUAUGGGGUUCUUUGGAAAAACACAUCACAGUAAAACUUGGCAGUAAUUAUUUUGAUGAGCUGAAUAUGAUAUAACAAUGAUUAUAUCUAUAUAGCAUGGACUAUAUUUACCUUAAAAUUUUAGCCAUAUGACCUUAAGUGUCUUAUUUGCAAUACUUAUUUUUAUUAUCUGAAAAAAAGACCAACAAUGCCAAGAUCACAGUAUAAUUCUGAAUAUUAUGCAAUCUGAGUUAUUCAUUGCAAUGAUUGUAGUCUAGGAAAUUAUGAUGAAAUAUUACUAUCCAUUCCAUUAAGCUUAUAAUGGCCUCAGAAAUGUGCUGGGUUUAAGAUUAAUAUAUGUUAUGACCUUAAAUACCUUGUAUUAGAAUAGAAAAACACUGGACUUGAAAUUAAAAGACCUAAGUUCAAACAUGGUAGUCAUUUACCCAGCCUUAUGGUUUGUAGAUAUAAGGCUAAUUCAGGUCUCAUGGCUUCAGUCCAGUGGAAAUUAUAUGAUCAUAGCAUAUCUUUCUAACUUUCUGUCGAAAAGCAGGAUAGACUGACAAAUUAGAGUGGUAGCCAAUGUUUCCAGGUAGCUUAUUUUUGAAUAAAUGGAUGAAUUUACAUUUGAAUAUUCAAGGGGCUUUUGAUAUACUGAAAUAUAGAGAAACAAUAUCCUUCUCUACCAGAAGAUAUUCUCUAUACAAACACAUGAUGUUGGAACCAAAUUUAAGAAAAUUUUAAUUUUAUAAUGUCUUUUACCAUUUAGAAGCAUUGAUGCAUAAUCUGUUAGUUACUAUAAUGCAUUGUAUUCGAACCCUCCUUCCACCUCAACAGAAAGAAUGAAAAAUAAUUAAUUGUUGAAAAAUAGAACCUCUCAUGUGGAAAUGCAUUCCCAUGUGGUUCCUAUGAAGCAUUUCUAGGGAAGAAGUGACCUCGUAUAAUGGAGGAGGCAUCUUGUGUGAUAUCAUGAAGUGGAUCAUAAUACCGUUUAUGUGGUAUCAUGAAGAGAUAAAAGUUGUGUGUCUUAGUUUGUUAUCAAGAACCAAGGACAUUGUUAGAAGAGGCUGGCACCUCAGUAAGUUUUCUUGGGUAUGUGGCUUGUUCAUGUAGUCACCAAUGAGCAGAAUAAAUUAAUUUUGUUAAUUAGAAAUCAAAGCUUUGGUGCUUGGCACCACUGCAAAUAACAAUGGCAAACUCCAAAAUGAUAUUAAUUUGUGGGUUAUAGGGGUUACUUCAGGCCUUCCAAACAUCUGCUAGAGUCAAAGUAACUGGCAAGAAAAUGAGUGCAAACCAAGAAAUUUAUUUUUAUGGCUGGAUAAUUAAGCAAAGAAAAUUAGGUCAAAGAGAUUCCCUGUUGCUGGAACAGCAUCCAGAAGAUCAUUUAAAGUUAAAAUAGAGACAAACGGUUUAUAUGCCUCAGCAUUUUCUGAAUUGUCUUUCCCUAUAAUUCCUUUUCUGUGAAAUGUUAAGAAAUGAUUUGUUUCAAAAAGUUUUUUUAGGUCAAGAAAUAUUGCCACCUGUUAGUUAAAUCCUCUCUAUAAUUAGUUUAACUGAAAAACCUCUGUGAAUCUCUAGUAGACCUAUAGUAUGAAAACAUCUCCGAUAUACUUGACAAUGAAAUCCUUUAGCAUUUUGUCUAUUUCUUUUUUUAAAUUAUUGCUCUUAAUUUCAGACAGAAUCUGUGAGUUCCCAUCGUGGCACAGUGGUUAAUGAAUCUGACUAGGAACCAUGAGGUUGCAGGUUCGGUCCCUGCCCUUGUUCAGUGGGUUAACGAUCUGGCGUUGCCAUGAGCUGUGGUGUAGGUUGCAGACGCAGCUCAGAUCCUGCGUUGCGGUGGCUCUGGCGUAGGCUGGUGGCUACGGCUCUGAUUAGACCCCUAGCCUGGGAACCUCCAUAUGCUGUGGGAACGGCCCAAGAAAU
Molecule: long non-coding RNA, 2571 nt
Filed under: Sus scrofa (pig)
Lineage: Eukaryota; Metazoa; Chordata; Mammalia; Artiodactyla; Suidae
Description: lncRNA (ENSSSCG00000057532.1)
Source: RNAcentral